GUCCCUAUCGUCUAGAGGCCUAGGACAUCGCCCUUUCACGCGGUAACCGGGGUUCGAAUCCCCGUAGGGACGCCA
This 75-nucleotide transfer RNA is filed under the name Acinetobacter baumannii. RNAcentral's name for it is "tRNA-Glu". It matches the Rfam family "tRNA". Rfam says of the family: Transfer RNA (tRNA) molecules are approximately 80 nucleotides in length. Their secondary structure includes four short double-helical elements and three loops (D, anti-codon, and T loops). Lineage: Bacteria; Pseudomonadati; Pseudomonadota; Gammaproteobacteria; Moraxellales; Moraxellaceae. The record is from RNAcentral.